UACGAAGGGGGCUAGCGUUGUUCGGAUUUACUGGGCGUAAAGCGCGUGUAGGCGGAUCGUUAAGUCGGGGGUGAAAGCCCGGGGCUCAACUCCGGAAUUGCCUGCGAUACUGGGCACCUCGAGUGUGGGAGAGGUGAGUGGAAUUGCGAGUGUAGAGGUGAAAUUCGUAGAUAUUCGGAGGAACACCAGAGGCGAAGGCGGCUCACUGGACCAUAACUGACGCUGAGACGCGAAAGCGUGGGGAGCAAACAGG
This 253-nucleotide ribosomal RNA is filed under the name uncultured bacterium. RNAcentral describes it as "partial 16S ribosomal RNA". It matches the Rfam family "Bacterial small subunit ribosomal RNA", at positions 524 to 776 of the family's 1533-position model. The record is from RNAcentral.